CCUGAGAAACCCGAAAGAUCGAAUGGGGAGAUUCAUCGUCAGCGUUUCCGGUGCGUGUACGGCUCGCGAUGUGUCCGUGCCGAAGACUUCGGUCUCUCGCGUGUGGCACACACGUCCGUAUGUUUUUUAAUGCUGGAAUCGUCGGCGUGCACUUCUCCCCUAGUAGGACGUCGCGACCCGUUGGGUGUCGGUCUACGGUACGGAGUGGCAGCCUGUCACGUGUGUGCGCUUCGCGGCGUUACUCGCGGGGCAGACCUCCGUAUACGCCCGACCGGCUGCCCGGCGGUACUCGCAAGGUAUCUGGCCGCAGAAACAUAUUACGAACUGCGUCCGGSCCGUCGCAAGCGCGACAAGUGUUUCCCGGCUGUUACGGAUUCAAUGCCGUCACCGGGCCUUGUCAGCUGUUGGUUGACGGUGUCCUGGGACUGGCUAACUUUUUCUUUGAUACCGGUCGGCGACGCUACUGCUUUGGGUACUUUCAGGACCCGUCUUGAAACACGGACCAAGGAGUCUAACCAUGUGCGCGAGUCAUUGGGAGUUAUGUUUAAAGCCUAAAGGCGCAAUGAAAGUGAAGAUCGGGCCUUGCGCGCCGUUCGAGG
This 599-nucleotide ribosomal RNA is filed under the name Tricyphus sp. NL691. RNAcentral describes it as "eukaryotic LSU rRNA". The record is from RNAcentral. Lineage: Eukaryota; Metazoa; Arthropoda; Insecta; Hymenoptera; Ichneumonidae.